AACGAACGCUGGCGGCAGGCCUAACACAUGCAAGUCGAACGCCGUAGCAAUACGGAGUGGCAGACGGGUGAGUAACACGUGGGAACGUACCCUUCGGUUCGGGAUAACUCAGGGAAACUUGAGCUAAUACCGGAUACGUCCGAGAGGAGAAAGAUUUAUCGCCGAGGGAUCGGCCCGCGUCUGAUUAGCUUGUUGGUGAGGUAACGGCUCACCAAGGCGACGAUCAGUAGCUGGUCUGAGAGGAUGAUCAGCCACAUUGGGACUGAGACACGGCCCAAACUCCUACGGGAGGCAGCAGUGGGGAAUAUUGGACAAUGGGCGCAAGCCUGAUCCAGCCAUGCCGCGUGAGUGAUGAAGGCCCUAGGGUUGUAAAGCUCUUUUACCCGGGAAGAUAAUGACUGUACCGGGAGAAUAAGCCCCGGCUAACUUCGUGCCAGCAGCCGCGGUAA
Molecule: ribosomal RNA, 449 nt
Filed under: uncultured bacterium
Lineage: Bacteria
Description: bacterial SSU rRNA
Rfam family: Bacterial small subunit ribosomal RNA
Source: RNAcentral